Pyrus x bretschneideri (Chinese white pear) is the source of this 3165-nucleotide long non-coding RNA. RefSeq lists it as uncharacterized. NCBI's taxonomy places the organism in Eukaryota, Viridiplantae, Streptophyta, Magnoliopsida, Rosales, Rosaceae. The record is from RefSeq and is a predicted model, not a curated record. The transcript is spliced from 2 exons.
AUUUACGGCCAAGCCACUGCUUUACAGAGUGGCCUUUGUGGUUUGGACCCGAUUUUCGCUCUAUUUACGCCAUGCCAUUGCUUUAAUGAGUGAUCUUUGUGGAAGGUUUGGGUUCGGGCUGGAACAUUUUUUUAUUUUUUUUUGGGUUUGGGCGGAUGGGCUUUUGCGGGUUUGGGCUGUGGCUGGUGGUUGGAUUCGGUAUAAGGUGAGGUGGAUGCAGUGACUCACCGACAAAGGCCAACCUUCAGCCUGCAGAAUGGCAGAGGGAAGAGGAGAGAAGGAAGAGCCGUGCGUUGCAAAAGGGAUGGGAGUAAAGAUGGGAGGAGAGAGGGGUGCCCGAAAGUUUGGUUUUGUUUUUGUUGGCAACGGGUGCGCAGAGAGACGGCGAGGCAGGGGUGGAGGGCUAGGGGGCAGGGUUGCUUUCAGAAUUUUUGUUCCGGCUGGAAGCCAUUUCCGCAAGAAUUGAUGGGGAAGGCAUGGUUGUGUGCAGUUUGUGGGGUUAGCCGGUCAGGAAGGGGUUACUGAAGGAGGUAUGGGAGAGUUUGAUUUUUCUGUUUCCUCCCUUGAUUCAAAAGAUUGACUCACUCCACAUUCUCUCUCUGUCUCUGUGAUUCUGGGUUCGUUCUGCCAUUUUUGCUUCUGAAGAAACCUAAUUGCAGGUUCCUUUUCCAUUUCCAAGCUUCUGUUAUGCUCUGUGCUGCCGUAUUUUCUGUUGUUAAUGAGGCUCGACUGAAAUAUGCAUCAACUUGAUUGAUUAUGCUGCUGUAUUCUCUCCCUCUGCAUUUUCUCUUUUUCUCUUUUUAAUGAGGCUUUAUGCUGCUAUACCAAAAUGAUGAAAUAUUCAUUUUUAAUGAUAUUUAUAGUUGGGUUUGUUUUAGUUCGGAGUUUUAAUUUGAUCAGUGUGCUUUUUUUGUGAUUAGGAUUUAGGACAUUGGUAACUUGGUUGAUUAGGAAUUUCUGUGUUUACCUCCUGAUCAGUAUUCAAAUUUAACUUUUUGUCAUAUAUUUUCAGCAGAUACUGUAGUUAAUCAAUUCAUCCGUGACGUAUUUAAACUUAAGUGAAUUUUUAAAUUCAAGUUUGAAAAUCUUCUUUUUGGUGAAGCUAUUUGUACAAGUAAUGAGACUAGGAAUGGCAACAGGCAGGUUGCUGCCUGUUUGAAAAUCUUCUUUUUGGUGAAGCUAUUUUCAGCAGAUACUGUAGUUAAUCAAUUCAACAGUUAGGUUGCUGCCAUUGUUUGUUAAUUAUUAUUAACAAGCUUUUGUUGCUCCCAUUGUCUGUUAAUUAUUAUUAACAAGUUUUAAGGCAUGAACCCAUUGAUUAUUGAUGGUUAUUGGCGCAAGGCCAUUAUUGUUUCACCGCUGUGAGAUUGUGUUGUUUCUUGAAGAUUUUUUGGUGAGGUUCAUGCUGUGUACAUUUUCUUUUGUAUUUUUUGCAUUUCUUGCAAUCAUAAAGUGGGUUGAGCUUGGUUCAUGAAUAAAAACAGCAAAUGUAUUGACUUUUGGAUGUGUUUCAUGUAAAAACAGCAAGUUGUGAUGUGUUUGUCGUUGUAAACUUGAUCGGGAACUUUGGCUUUCUAUGUGUUUCGCAUGAUAAAACAGCAAAUAUAUUGAGCUUGAAAAUAAGGGUUUAGGGUUCACUGUCUUUCCAUGUAUAGAAAUUUACCCCUAUUUUUGGUUUCUUUAUAAUUUCAAUUAUCUUUCUGGAACCUAAUCCCUAAACUUAUUAAAUUCAUUGAUUAGGUGAUUUUGGAUUCAAUCCCGAUGUUCCUAUUUCUCGGAUUGGUGUUGUGUGCUACUUUCUGGUGAUUAGAUUGGUAAAUCAUUGCAUUUUACUGAAGGUAUUUGACCUGCCUAUUUUAAACUUUUGAGCUCCUUUCGUCUCUAAAAUGUUUGAAUAUAGUCGUCUUGGGAGUCUUAGUGUGAUUAUUCUUCUAUUUCUUAGAUUCAAUAUGUUUUUAAUUUCUCAUUUAAUUGGUGUAGCUUUGCUCAUUUAACCAGAAUUUAAUCAGAUUUGGUCCUCGAAUUUCUCUGAAUUGCUAAAGGAUUUAUUUUCUUUGGAAAUUUUAGAAACUCGGGUCAUGGAGGAAGAAGGGUUCCUUGCCAUUUUUAGGUAUAUAAUUAUGUGCCCUGAUUGCAUGUUCACAGCCUAUUUAGUUAAAUGGAUUUUUUAUUUAUCUUUCUAAAGCUUUCAUGCCUAGAUUUUAAAUAUGUGAUUGGUUUGUGAGUGAUAAAUGAAAACAAUAAUCAUGGGGGCAUUCUUAUUUUUGGAUUUUCUCUUCUGCAUUUUUUCUUCUGUCCUUUGUAUGUUUGCAGUUAGAUCAAUGGGUUCAACCCCUUGAACUGAAAUUUGUUUGACAACCUUGAAAGUGUUUGGCUUUUUGGUGCUCUUUAAUGUGCACUUUCUUUUGUUUAUCUAGAUUAGUGUUUUUCCAGCCCUUUUAAUCGUUGUAGUUCACAAAGUCCUUAUUGAUCUUGCAAUUGUUGUUUUUAAUUUAUCUUUGUUGGGUAGACGGCAUGUACUGUGGGUUUCGGUGUUUAGGGAAUAUUCUGAGCUUCAUUACCAUUUUAAUGGUUAGGGAAAAUUUUGAGAUUCAUUAAUAGGAUUUUUGUGGCUAACAUUCUUUAGCUAAAUUCGUAAUUAUUUGGUGUUUAGAGUCCCGUGGAUUGGUAUCCAUAUCUUAUAAAUAUGUUGGCCAAGACAUAUGUUAGCUUUCAUUCUGCUUUUGCUUUCGUUUUGUUUUUUCAUUUUCAUUUCUUAUAUCUUGCUUUUGCUUUUGAUGCAUAGUUUGAAAGCUUCUGGAUCAUAAUAUGAAUUCCGGUGUGUGCAAUGUUUGUACAAUUUGAAUUCUCAAGCAUGAUGAUAUUGCCUAAACAUGUAGAUUUUACACUGCUUUUGUGCCAUGCAGGUGUGUGUGAGUGUGUGCAGUGUUUGUGCAAUUUGAGUGUGUGCCGUCUUAACUGCAGAAGCAAAAUAUGUGUCAAGUGCAUGGUGCUUCUGUUUCUUAUGGAAACAAGUCUUCUGCAUAUUUUUUGCUUUGAACGUUUGUGCUUGGAAAGUUAAGCUACUUGAACGUUUAGUUUCGUCUAGCUAAUUGUACAAUGUCUUUACAUGUCAGCUCAGUUGAAUGUAUAUAAAAACCAAGCCUGCUUAUCUUUUUGACCUCA